GACGAACGCUGGCGGCGUGCUUAACACAUGCAAGUCGAACGGAAAGGCCCUGCUUUUGUGGGGUGCUCGAGUGGCGAACGGGUGAGUAACACGUGAGUAACCUGCCCUUGACUUUGGGAUAACUUCAGGAAACUGGGGCUAAUACCGGAUAGGAGCUCCUGCUGCAUGGUGGGGGUUGGAAAGUUUCGGCGGUUGGGGAUGGACUCGCGGCUUAUCAGCUUGUUGGGGGGGUAGUGGCUUACCAAGGCUUUGACGGGUAGCCGGCCUGAGAGGGUGACCGGGCCCAAUGGGACUGAGGAACGGCCCAGACUCCUACGGGGGGGAGGAGUGGGGAAUUUUGCACAAAGGGCGGAAGCCUGAAUGAACAACGCCGGGUUGGGGAAGACGGCCUUCGGGUUGGAAACCGCUUUCGCCUGUGACGAAGCGUGAGUGACGGUAAUGGGUAAAGAAGCACCGGCUAACUACGUG
RNAcentral lists this ribosomal RNA (468 nucleotides) under uncultured bacterium. RNAcentral describes it as "partial 16S ribosomal RNA". It matches the Rfam family "Bacterial small subunit ribosomal RNA", at positions 28 to 507 of the family's 1533-position model. The record is from RNAcentral.